UUAUCUCUGUAGAGUCUGCAUAUCAAUAAGCGGAGGAAAAGAAACUAACAAGGAUUCCCUUAGUAACGGCGAGUGAAGCGGGAAGAGCUCAAAUUUGAAAUCUUCAAGGUUCUACCUUGACGAAUUGUAGUUUAUAGAAGUGUUUUCUGUUAGUAGAGUGGCAAAAGUUCUUUGGAAUAGGACAUCAUAGAGGGUGAGAAUCCCGUAUUUGGUCAUUCUUUCUAGCUUUGUGAUACACUUUCAACGAGUCGGAUUGUUUGGGAAUGCAGUCCAAAAUGGGUGGUAAAUUUCAUCUAAAGCUAAAUAUUGGCGAGAGACCGAUAGCGAGCAAGUACCGUGAGGGAAAGAUGAAAAGAACUUUGAAAAGAGAGUUAAACAGUACGUGAAAUUGUCAAAAGGGAAGCGUUUGACACCAGUGUUGUUUUUCCGAAAAUCAAUUACGAAUGUUUUGUUUUUGAGAAGUUAUGACUUCAUCGGCUUGCUUCUUUCUUUACGAAACUUUCUUAAUGCACCUUUCGGUUAACAAGUCAACAUCAAUUUCUUUUGUUGUAAAAGGGUACGAGGAAGGUGGCUUUCUUUUCGGAGAAAGUGUUUAUAGCCUUGUGCCUCUGCAAUCGGAGAGAUUGAGGUCUGCAGCGUAGAUCCUUCGGGGUUAGAUACAUUUGUGCUAAGUUAUAGCUUUUCAUAGACAACUUGUUGACUAUAGUUUAGUCUUGUAGCUUACUCGCUUAUGCUAUUUUACCUACGCUUAGGAUGUUGAUGUGAUACUGCGAGCA
This 776-nucleotide ribosomal RNA is filed under the name uncultured Neocallimastigales. RNAcentral describes it as "partial large subunit ribosomal RNA". It matches the Rfam family "Eukaryotic large subunit ribosomal RNA", at positions 24 to 646 of the family's 3401-position model. The record is from RNAcentral. Lineage: Eukaryota; Fungi; Neocallimastigomycota; Neocallimastigomycetes; Neocallimastigales.